RNAcentral lists this ribosomal RNA (465 nucleotides) under uncultured bacterium. Its description in RNAcentral is "partial 16S ribosomal RNA". It matches the Rfam family "Bacterial small subunit ribosomal RNA", at positions 28 to 507 of the family's 1533-position model. The record is from RNAcentral.
GACGAACGCUGGCGGCGUGCUUAACACAUGCAAGUCGAACGGAAAGGCCCUGCUUGCAGGGUACUCGAGUGGCGAACGGGUGAGUAACACGUGGGUGAUCUGCCCUGCACUUCGGGAUAAGCCUGGGAAACUGGGUCUAAUACCGGAUAGGAGCCAUUUUUAGUGUGAUGGUUGGAAAGUUUUUUCGGUGUAGGAUGAGCUCGCGGCCUAUCAGCUUGUUGGUGGGGUAAUGGCCUACCAAGGCGGCGACGGGUAGCCGGCCUGGGAGGGUGGACGGCCACAUUGAGACUGGGAUACGGCCCAGACCCCUACGGGAGGCAGCAGUGGGGGAUAUUGAAAAAUGGGCGCAAGCCUGAGGCAGCGCCGCCGCGUGGGGGAUGACGGCCUUCGGGUUGUAAUCUCCUUUCGCUAGGGACGAAGCUUUUUGUGACGGUACCUAGAUAAGAAGCACCGGCUAACUACGUG